GACGAACGCUGGCGGCGUGCUUAACACAUGCAAGUCGAACGGAAAGGCCUCUUUCGGGGGGUACUCGAGUGGCGAACGGGUGAGUAACACGUGAGUAACCUGCCCUUGACUUUGGGAUAACUUCAGGAAACUGGGGCUAAUACCGGAUAGGAGCUCCUGCUGCAUGGUGGGGGUUGGAAAGUUUCGGCGGUUGGGGAUGGACUCGCGGCUUAUCAGCUUGUUGGUGGGGUAGUGGCUUACCAAGGCUUUGACGGGUAGCCGGCCUGAGAGGGUGACCGGCCACAUUGGGACUGAGAUACGGCCCAGACUCCUACGGGAGGCAGCAGUGGGGAAUAGUGCACAAUGGGUGGAAGCCUGAUGCAGCAACGCCGUGUGCGGGAUGACGGCCUUCGGGUUGUAAACCGCUUUCGCUCAUGACGAAGCUUUGUGUGACGGUAGUGGGUAAAGAAGCACCGGCAAACUACGU
Molecule: ribosomal RNA, 466 nt
Filed under: uncultured bacterium
Lineage: Bacteria
Description: partial 16S ribosomal RNA
Rfam family: Bacterial small subunit ribosomal RNA
Source: RNAcentral